GCGGGUGUAGUUCAAUGGUUAGAAUACCAGCCUUCCAAGCUGGCUGUGUGGGUUCGAUUCCCAUCACCCGCUCCA
This 75-nucleotide transfer RNA is filed under the name Oscillospiraceae bacterium. RNAcentral describes it as "tRNA-Gly". It matches the Rfam family "tRNA". Rfam says of the family: Transfer RNA (tRNA) molecules are approximately 80 nucleotides in length. Lineage: Bacteria; Bacillati; Bacillota; Clostridia; Eubacteriales; Oscillospiraceae. The record is from RNAcentral.